Molecule: long non-coding RNA, 615 nt
Organism: Acyrthosiphon pisum (pea aphid)
Lineage: Eukaryota; Metazoa; Arthropoda; Insecta; Hemiptera; Aphididae
Exons: 3
Source: RefSeq, a predicted model, not a curated record
CGAUAAUGUCUAGACUUCGGGAAUAGACCUCGUUACUCUAAUUCGAUAUACUUUGGUCGUAUUCACUAUCGAUGUUUAUAACGCAUGCGAUAAAUAUUUCGCACAUUAAAAUAUUAUCAAUUUAAUCAAAGCAUUUCAAGGAAGGAACUGCUCGUUCGUACACCUACCUCCAAACAGUCCAAACAAACAACUGUGCAUGUAAACUGCGACUGAGAUAGUCGGUGAUGUAAACAAACAAAUUUUCACACAAAAUACAAUUAAAACGACUAAAAUAUAUACUGCAACUACCGUUUUGUAUAUUACAAGCCCUAUCCGAAUGUCGGCAAUUGGUUACACGAGAGGAUUAUGUGACAGAGACCACGAUCUUAAUAUCCAAUUAUCCAUCAGUCAUCAGCCAUCACCUACCUGCUGCAGACCGACUACAAUUCCGGUUUUCUAGAACGGUUUCCACACACUUUUCCGUGCUCAUUUUUGACUACGUAGCUUCCAACAUGUCUAUAAACGAAUUCUUCGAUGGCUUAACAUCCUAUGACGAACGCAAUUUUUCUAGAUUCGUUUCAAAAAAUAGUGAAAGGAAGCCUUCACCAGUUUACAUAAAACAAAAGACGAACCUUC